UACGGAGGAUGCGAGCGUUAUCCGGAUUUAUUGGGUUUAAAGGUGCGUAGGCGGACGCUUAAGUCAGCGGUAAAAUUGCGGGGCCCAACCUCGUCGAGCCGUUGAAACUGGGUGCCUUGAGUGGGCGAGAAGUACGCGGAAUGCGUGGUGUAGCGGUGAAAUGCAUAGAUAUCACGCAGAACUCCGAUUGCGAAGGCAGCGUACCGGCGCCCAACUGACGCUGAAGCACGAAGGCGUGGGUAUCGAACAGG
RNAcentral lists this ribosomal RNA (251 nucleotides) under uncultured bacterium. RNAcentral's name for it is "partial 16S ribosomal RNA". It matches the Rfam family "Bacterial small subunit ribosomal RNA", at positions 524 to 776 of the family's 1533-position model. The record is from RNAcentral.